Molecule: non-coding RNA, 1451 nt
Organism: Maylandia zebra (zebra mbuna)
Lineage: Eukaryota; Metazoa; Chordata; Actinopteri; Cichliformes; Cichlidae
Source: RefSeq, a predicted model, not a curated record
UUUUGUCAUCAAUCAACAACAGAAAAUAUUAAGUUUGUGUAACAUGUAAAAAUGAGUUUCAACAUCCUUCCUGUUUGAAUUGAGACCAUUCAGACAGACAAGGGCAACCCCGUAGCAUAUGUUCGUAUCGUGCGCAACAGUUUCUGGAUUCUUGUGGCUUCGUGGGAGAAGAGGUGUGUUUGCCCUCGACUGUGUUCGGUGAGUUAAGAACCGAAAACACACUCCUCACUCAUUGGAUGACUUCAAGUCUGAGCUGAUACAGCGGUGUGUCAGUCGUUUGAAUGCAGGAGAUGAUCCUCUUGAGGAACAUAAUGAAAAUCCAUUGUGUGAAGAUGUAGCAAAUGAAGAGGAUGAAGAAAUUGGGGAAUUGCCUAAUUUAAUUGAGAAACAUUUAGCCCACCUACUACUAAAACUGGAAAGUAUAUAUAAUGUACCUCGCAGGUGUAUUGAUGAAUUAGUUGUUACAGUUACAGUUAUAGUUCAUGUCAUUCUCUGAUUCAGGUCCUAUUCAUCAAAAGCACAAUUGUGCUGUUGAUGAAAUUUAGGUUACAUUUACUUUUAGUCACUUUAUCCUAUUGCUAGGCCAGUGUGUAACAGUUUAAAUUGAAGUUACAAAGAUUAAAUCUUUAUUUCUUUUAAAAACAUAUUUAAAAUCAAUAUUUGGCACAAUGCAAGUCACAUAAAUGUAAUAGUUUUGACUUUUCACCUAAUAAACUGUAAGUUUAAGUUUUGUUUUGCUUUUUUUAUUCUCCAGAGUUCGGUGGAAAUGAAGAGAGAGGUCGCAAUCCGUUGCCUGAAGGUGUAUCUGAAAGAGAAGGAAGAGGAUCUCUUCAGAGAACAGCUGGAUGGUGAACAACAGUUCCCAGAAGAAGUGGUAAAGAUUGUAGUCACCAGACGUGCAGCAGUGUCUCUCAAAGCUGUCGCUAAAAUUGUGAUUGAAGGAACAGCAGUCCUGGAAGACCUUGAUGUGCCCAGAGUGUGUGCCUUAAUGAUGGGGCUUAUAUACACUCUCAAUCUGAGCUACCCAAAACAAGUAAAGAACACUAGAGGUAUUUCUGGAACUUGAUGGGCUUAAACCAGUCCACGGGUAAUGUCUGUUAAGUGCAAACUUCUGUCAUGAAAAGAAUGUGAAUUGGACUGUAGUAUUCCGAUGUGCCUCUUACGUUUUUGUAUGCAGUCCCAGAUGAGUGUAGUUUUGAGAAAAGUUUGUAAUACAUAUAAUCUUAGCUUUGGAUUGUUCUGUUGUUGAACAUUAAAAUCUUUUGUCAUUUCCUUGAUUCUGCGACAAGUUGAACAAGUUGAUACCAAUUUAUGUUAAUGUUAAUGUACAUGAAGUACUUUUUUUUUUAGUCAUUUAUAAUUAAAGGGCUGCUGUAAUGUUUCAUUUAUGUUGUAUUGACACAGAAGUGUAUUACUUUGAAAAUGUUUUGUAAUAAAAUAAUCAAUUGGAA